GGUCAAAGGUAAAGCACGUUGUAAUACGCGCGCAGACGCGCGAUAGAGACAACAUAAUGGAUGCAGUGUGGAAAACCGUGAAUGAUUAUUUACCAAAGACUAAAGAAGAGUGGAACUGGUGGAUUAAGUUUCGUAAAGCUGAUGUCAUCCUCAGGAAGCAUGACAACUUCCUGUACUGUGAGAUUGCCUUCUAUGCCAUGGCCUUCCUUACGUUCAUUCAUGCUAUGCGACAUGGAGGUAGGUUUCGGUGGCUGUGGCUAGCAUCAGUUUUCCAUGGCCUGACGGUGGAGUGUGUCAGCUACUUCCUCCCCGACAUCGACAACUUCUGGCACGCACAAGCAACUGUGAUGCUGCUGGGGCAACGACUACCACUCCAUAUUCUGUUGCUGUACCCAGCGUUGUACUAUGUGGCAUCAGUAGCUGUCGGACAUAUGAAGCUGAGGGGAUGGGCCGAACCUUUUGCAGUUGGGCUCAGUGUUGUUAUCCUGGACGUUCCCUACGACAUCAUGGGCAUCAAGCUGUUGUGGUGGACGUGGCACGACGAUGACCCCAACAUCUACGACCGCCACUACUCGGUGCCGUGGACCAGCUACUACUUCCACGCAACUUUCGCUGCAGGCUUCACUUUGGUUUUCCAUGGACUCCGCAACUGUUUGUGUCAGAGAGCAAACAAAUUCCAGUCUGCUGGGUUCCUGUUGGAGCUGAUGGUUGCCGUAGCGACUGGCCUUCUGGCCAUGCCCCUGGGAGUCCUUCAGUUUCUGCCGAUCUACCACCCACUGCAUGACUCCUUCAAGCUCCACACAGAGGUAUGUGUUCUCAUGCUGUUGGGAGUCUACGGCCUCCUUGUGUGGAUUGCUGACAGAACACCACUAGAGGGAGCCAGGGGACCUCAGAAGUCAAGGGGUGCUAUCAGCGAGGUGCUGCUCUGCGUGCUGCUGCAUUAUGGGCUGUACAUCUACCUCGUGCUCACUGCAGUGCCAGAGAGUAUUCAAGCUACUGGGUUCCACCAGCCAGUCGGCAACUGCAGCACGACGCUACCCGUCCAGACUCCAUUCGGAAUGACUCUAUCCAAGCACAAGUAUCUCUGCCUCAACAAAUAUGAUGAAGAUGUUUUCGACUUCCACUGCGUGAAGAAACAGCCCGCUAGUGGUAAAGAGUGGUACACGAUUUGCGGCACCGCGUUUCCCAACCAUUUUGAGUACAUCUGUGUGGUGACCUCAUUCUGUGUCCUUGGGUUGGUCUGGUACUGGCAGCUACUGUUCCGCUCCGGUGCUGUCCCCAGAACUCAGGGGCCCAAGACCAAGCAGCACAAGGACUAGGCAAGCUCUGCCUCAUGCUGCUGCACCAGGGAAUCUAUGGUCAGGGUAUGAAGUCUUCAAGUUGCACUGUCCAAGAAAUAUGAUCACCAGCUGCAGAAAGGAUUUAAAAUACGACAGUAAUUAUAUGUAUAAUAUGCUGUGGGGAAAUCUAUUUAUGAAAUUUAUAGUUUUAUCAUUAUAGGUUAAAUGUGUUUUAAUUUUGUCUGAAAGAUAAGACGUUUAUUUUAAUAUGAAGGAAAAACAUUGUUUGGUAUUCACGUCACUUUGGAACAGUUCCCAGCAAAUUAUUUCAUUUAUGAGUGACAGUAAAAGGUAGCUUACAGUAUGUGUUGUACCUUUACAAAUGAGGAAAAUAUGUAUAAUCACACCAUGAUAGGAAUCUUUAAAAAAUCAUGUCAGUGGGACAAAGUUCUUUAAUUUUCAAGUCAAUUUUAAUGUUGAUCCACAAUUAUUUGUUCAUGGUUUUGUUUGUAUGAAGAAAAUUCAGUGAAGAAUUGAAAUUAAAUUCAAGAAGUGGUCUGUGAAAUUCAGUUUUCCCUGAAACUGCAAUGUCAAAUUGAUGAAAAGAUUACCUUUGAGACAUAUUUGCUUUAAAGAUUGCCCUUUAAGGUUGUGAGUUUUCAUUAUGUAAGUGAACUGAGAACUUGAGAUGAGGUAUAAAUGAGACUGGUUAUGACUUCAAAAUCAAAAUCAAGAAUGCAUACACUUGUUGUUAAGAUAGCUGAGAACAUAUCAUAAGAACACAUACCAUACAUGAUUAAAUUUACUUUUGAGCUAUUGGAUCUUUACAUGUAAAGUAAAGACCUGCUUCAGUGUGUGCUUUCCUCCCACAUCCCACACAAUGUGAUAUGUCUGAAAUACUAGUCAAAGCAGUGUUAACCAACUCACUCACUUUCUAUGCCCCUACACAUACGUGGACAGGACACUCGAUAGUCCACAAAUUAAUGUCAGACAUUUUGGUAAGAACUCUAAAACCCAGAGACAUGCUUCCUCGGGGAGCGGUCCAUUGUCAGUCACGAUUGCCUUAUUCAUAGCAAAGGACAAGUUAUGAUAAGGGCCCGUUGGACAAAGAACUUCAUUUAGAGGUGUUCAGUGUAAAUAUUCUGAGAAACCCAAAACAGUGUAAGGUAGCGACUGUUUAAAUCUGAUUUUGGAGUCACGCAAUGAGAGCGUAACCAGACAGUGUGUUUUUAUAAACCAAGGCAGCAGCACUAUAUCAACAGUAUUUUAGUUGUCAGCAGUAGUAACUAGGUUAAAAUAAUAAUAACAAGUUAGAGUGUAGUAUUUAUUGCAGUUUGUUUUGCCCACUUUUGGCUAAGAAGCAUUGAACAUUUGUUACAUAAAUUGUAUUGCCAUGACAGUUCUUAUAAUGGCAUACAGCUAGUCAGAUAAGAUAUAUAUUAUAAUGCCCUGCAGGUGUAUAAACAUGUAUACAGAACAACCAGGUUAUAAUGCCCUGCAGGUGUAUAAACAAGUAUACAGUACAACCAGGUUAUAAUGCCCUGCAGGUGUAAAAACAAGUAUACAGUACAACCAGGUUAUAAUGCCCCAGCUUGCAGUAUUGUGACUGAUGCCAGCAGUGUUGGGUUGUAGAAGACUUGUAACUGUCUAACAGUAACAACACAUGUCAAUCAGCUCUUCCCUUCUUGUCAAUCAAAUUGAAUCAUGUCAAUUGAACUUAGCUAAUGAAUGUCAGUGCCAUUUAAACUUUCCCCUAUUAAAGGAAGAUUAAAAGAGGAUAAGCUGUGAAGACAACUGAGAUCAAAACACUUAAGAGAGAGAUAAGUUUUGAAAAGAAGAAUGAUGAUGAUACAGGCUGUUAAGGGCAGUGUCUCCAAUGUUCUCUGCUCUGCGAGUUCUGCCCAGGAACUAACAAUUUAAGACAUACACCUGAAUGUAGAUUAUUUUUUAUAUCCCAAACUCAAUCAGAUGUUCUGAUUGUUUUUUUUAUAAAGUUGCAUAUCUUUGAGGCAUAUUUGCUAAAUUUCGUCUUGCAUUCCUAUUUCUCUUUAGAGACAUUGUAGUGAUCUCUUGUAUAUAUUUAUGUUGAUUUGGCUUGUCCAAAAUACUUAUGUGCAAGUUUACAUCACAAUUGAGUGUAGUUUGACUCAACUAUUUGUAGAUAUUGUGUGAAAUAUCCAGUAUUUAUGAAGACACUUUGAAGCAAUGAAUGUUCAUCUUUGUUUCUGAUCUGAAGAGGUGAAGUCAUGAUUGUUUUAAGUUAACUGGUUUAAUGUUUAUAAGAUGAUGCCAAUUCAGGAUUUUGCAGACAUUACCGAUACUUGCUGUGUCAUAAUGGUUGUGUUUUCUGACACUGUGGAAGUUCAUGUUACUUUUAGAAAAUAGCCAACAUGCUACAAGGAAUUAUGGAUUGUCUGUGAAUUAAUGCCUAUAAAUACAGGUACCUCCUUCACCAUAGUCCGUAACCGUAAGGAUUCCAGGUCAGAAUAUUGGCACCCAGCAACCUACACUUGCUGUUAGAGGCAACUAAAUGGAUCGGUGGUCAGACUCGAUGACUUGGUUGAAUGCAUGGACCGAUGCUCAUGAUGUCAAUCAUUGGAUUGUCUGUUCCAAACUUGAUUGUUUCAAGACCACUGACUGCUGAGUGCAGCAUUGAACAACAAGCAAGAACAAAAACACCAUGGUAUUUUAUUCAUAUGGAUAAUACAUAAUUCCAAUUUGCAAGUACAUUAUUCAUUUUCUACCAAUUAUUUUAAGAAAGAAAAUUAUAUGACAUGACAACCCAACAAACAAACUUGAUGACGUCAGCCUUGUUUUUUUUAUAUCGUAUAGCACUGUGAUAAUGCAAUGUCAUGCACAGGGGAUGACAUAUUGUAUUGUGUCCAGAUUAGUUCAGUUUACCAAGGAGCUUUGAGAAUGGCUAAAAUUUAAAAUUUGCCAUUAAUUAAACUAAGUCAUUCAAUCUGUAAGGGUGAAAAUUAUACCAUAUCAAGUGUGAUAUUCUUAUUACUUGAAAAGAUUUGUGAAGCAUGCAGCAAAUUUGAACAAAAAAAACCCAGUUAUUUUUCAUUAAACUUUGAAACUUUUUUGCCAUUUUCUUAAAACUUGGGCUCUUCCGUAAAGCUGUCUUUGUGUUACAACUAUUUUAAGUCUGUGCAUUGAAGGUAAGACUGUUAUCAGGGAUGAUACAUGACGUUUCUGUGAAAGCUAACAGACUCAUUUGACUCAGAACAAAGGCUGUUUAGUACUUGCAAUGCAACUGACUAUAUAAAGACAGACAUUAUUUAUAGGAGGGUUGUGAGGGGAGUUGGCGUGUAGCAAGUUGAGUGUGUUUGCAGGUUUAGAGAAGUGCUGUGUUGAAUGCAAGUGUUUUAGAGCUAUAAUUACUCAAAUGUGGUUUUUUUAAUGCAAUUUUGUGAAAGAUUGUGUGUUUUUGUGUUCAUAUUAAAUGAAAACCUUUUAAAAAUAUAUUUAUUGAGUUUCUAUGGUUUAAGAAAAAAACAAUUUUUUUAAUAAGAUCAAAUGAAAUUUCAGAUGUUACGUUCCUUGUUGUGGCAAUAUUCAAUUACAUCAGCUCUGAUUGUCACCUAUCUCAUUCUUGAGUUAGGACCCAAGAUUGAUGUGUGAAUUUUGUUUGAAAUCUCCAUAUUUUUCACAUAUGUUUAAAAUUUAAAUUUUUAAAAUGAUGCAUGAACAUUUUAAUUUGUACCACCAAUAAAUGUAGGAAGCAAAUCAAAUGAUUUUAUCUGAUAUUCAAAAUACAUCUGGGUACUAAAGUGCCACAUGUACAUGCCCGCUGGCAAUGGAGCUUGUACAAGAGUCACACUGCAUUGUGCCUGCAUGGCGCAUCUACCUGUAUGAAUAUGUCACAGACGGUGAGUCUGAACUUAGGAUAGAUGUCUCCCACCGAAGGUGCUACCGGAAUGAAUCAGUUAUUCAAACAAUAAACGAGAAAUUUCCAAAA
This 5244-nucleotide unclassified non-coding RNA is filed under the name Haliotis rufescens (red abalone). RNAcentral describes it as "uncharacterized LOC124149321, transcript variant X1". The record is from RNAcentral. Lineage: Eukaryota; Metazoa; Mollusca; Gastropoda; Lepetellida; Haliotidae.